UUUCCCCCUCCCUCCUUAACUCAAGGCAAGCGUGACGAAUUAUGUAGUUCCUCUUAGUGACAAGGGAGCUUGAUAACAGUUUGACUUUUGUGUAGAAGUUAGGUCCAGUUAUUGUUACAAUAUUUCGGUUCAAAAUUUGAACUGAAGGAAGGGAAAUGUGUGAUUUUUACCUUUUUUUUUAACAAAUGUGAAAGAGUCAGUUUUAGAAAUGUGUGGUUAGUUUGGCAUUUGCUACAUGUAUAGAAAGAAAACUAAUUAUAUUUAUAACUAAAUCAUUGAGAUAGAAAAAUAAUCCCAUUGACUAUACACCUUUAUAGUUUUUUUUCCCCUUUCUGAUCAUAUAGUCUUCAGAUUUGGCUUCAGGAACCAAACUAUAUACUGGUUCCAACUUGGACUUUAUGACUGGUUGGUGCCAUUACUUUCUCCUCCCUUUUUUCUUAUUUUGGAAAUAAGUUUCUGUAUAUGUUGUAAUAUUAGUUUUUUAUUUUUAACCCUUUCUUAUCCUAUUCUCCAACUGGCUACCCCAGCAUGGUAAAUAAUAUAAUAACCAUUGAAUUUUCAGAAUUUAAAAGUUAAUCUUAUUCUUGUUUUUUCCCUUUUUUUCUAUUUUCCAUUUAAAGGAGAAAAAUAUUUGAGACUAGCAGAAACAGUGAGAGAAUUAAACCUUGGUGAGCUCUAAAAUAAGAAAGAUUCAUCAACGAAAAAUGUCAAGUAAAAGAAGCAGCAGCUUCUGAUAAGAAAACUGGAGGGUUUUUUUUUGUUACAAUGUCCCCAGACCCAUUACCAGCAUUAGUAAAAUGAAUCUGAGAGAGCUUCUGUUUCUAAGUACUUACUGAUCAAUUCGUGCAUCAUUUGAGAUGUUUAAUUACUUUUUUCAAAUAAAUGUUUUUUAAAACAAAAAAAAAAGUAAGAAAAUUUAUAUGUGCUUAUUGAUAGAAAUGUCCUUAUUUUCAUUUUAAAGAUGAAGAGGUCUGUGACCAAGUACACUCUUCCUUCCCACAAACACUUUCUCCUCUCUCUUUGUUACUACUAUUUGCUCUAUGGACAGUAUCAACCACCUUAACAUGCCAAGAAUCUUGUAAAAAGGAAAUAUGUGCUUUGUUUCUGACCUUUUGUUUCUACCAUACUCUCCUAAGGAACUUCACACCUAUUUUCUGUCCUGCAGAAGUACAAAGUAUGAAUAAAAAUCAUUUUGAUGUUUUGGAGUACUAGGGAAACUAAAAGUUUUUGUUUUCUAUCAUUCCCAUCACACCUGUGUUAAGGUAAUAGAUAUAAUAGAAGUGACUUUUAGUUAAUAAUGCAGGGAGAUUUUUACACAAAUUGGUAAGAUAAUGAAACCUAUAUAAGCACUUAAUGGUCUGCUUUUAGUUAAAUUCUUUCUCUCAUUUUCUCUGAAUAAUAUUGACCUUCUACAGCUGUUACUAAAUUACUUUACAGAAGCAAGCUGAUUUAUUUCUGAUGGACAGCUACAGUGCCUCUUAUGUUCCACAUAAGAAUAUUCUUUGUAAAUAGUUGGAUGGAUUAUGAUAAAGAAGAUGCUACCAGUGAGAAAGCAACUAGAUGAUAAGACUGAUCAUCACUCAAAAAGGCACUUCCAUCCAUGCCAGAAAGACUAUUCAUUGAAUACAGUGCCAAUACUCCAUUUUUAUGCCUGUGACUCAACAGAGGUCUUUCAGUUUAUAGAAAAAGUUUGCUAUUUGUAUUUACGACUUUGAUGGUUAAACUGCAUGUCCAUUGCUGGCAACGGACUUUGUCAUUAAAAUCUGGCUCCUCGUUUAAGGGAGCUACACUGUGGAUUUUAGUCUUUACUUACUUGGUUAAACUAACUUGUUAUAGAAAUAUACUUCAGUUCAUUCUGAAAUGUGUCAUUUUCAACACAGUAACUUAAAAGCAAUACAGGCUUGUGAUUUCUUAAUUAAAUUAAAAUGUUCAGAUCUUAA
Molecule: long non-coding RNA, 1940 nt
Organism: Suncus etruscus (white-toothed pygmy shrew)
Lineage: Eukaryota; Metazoa; Chordata; Mammalia; Eulipotyphla; Soricidae
Exons: 2
Source: RefSeq, a predicted model, not a curated record